CUCACCUGGCCUGGACACGGAAAGGAUUGACAGACUGAUAGCUCUUCCUUGAUUUUGUGGGUGAUGGUGCAUGGCUGUUUGUAGUAGGUGGAGUGAUAUGUCUGGUUAAUUUUGACAACGAACAAGACUCUGGCAUGCUAACUAGCUAUGCAACCCCAGAGAGGUCGGCACCUAACUUCUCAGAGGGACAAGUGGCAUUCGGCCAACUGAGAUUGAGCAAUAACAGGUCUGUGAUGCCAGUGUG
RNAcentral lists this non-coding RNA (244 nucleotides) under Chelonia mydas (Green sea turtle). Its description in RNAcentral is "Eukaryotic small subunit ribosomal RNA". It matches the Rfam family "Eukaryotic small subunit ribosomal RNA", at positions 1214 to 1476 of the family's 1831-position model. The record is from Rfam by way of RNAcentral. Lineage: Eukaryota; Metazoa; Chordata; Testudines; Cheloniidae.